AAUAAACCUUGAGAAGAGUCUCCUUCAAUCUGCUGUUAGUAACUAACACACACACUCACUCACACCGAGACUCAAUUACUGCCCAAUUCCUUUCUUUAUCAUCUGUUACCGGCCUCUUUCAAAACGAAAUCGAAAAGAGGCUAGAAGGCUACACGAAGUAUUACUUGAAACAAAAUCCCGUUGGAAAUAAGUAUUAGUGUCGAAACUAAAGGUGUUAGAGCAGUGAUGUCACAGAGCUGAAGACAUUUCCUAUCAGUCCUGAGACAGGGGAAGACAGAUGUGGAGCCCCUCCCUGUCCCUGUGUGGAGUGGCCUCUCUUUCACACUUCCAAUAAAAACCACUGUCACCAGUAACCACCAGCUCCACUUAACAACCAGCUUCACCAGUAACCACCAGCUCCACUUAACAACCAGCUUCACCAGUAACCACCAGCUCCACUUAACAACCAGCUUCACCAGUAACCACCAGUGAUGCUGCUGCUAGGAGGAGACAGACACUUAUUAACAACCAGCUUCACCAGUAACCACCAGUGAUGCUGCUGCUAGGAGGAGACAGACACUUAUUAACAACUAGCUUCACCAGUAACCACCAGUGAUGCU
Molecule: long non-coding RNA, 599 nt
Organism: Oncorhynchus tshawytscha (Chinook salmon)
Lineage: Eukaryota; Metazoa; Chordata; Actinopteri; Salmoniformes; Salmonidae
Source: Ensembl